Molecule: ribosomal RNA, 274 nt
Filed under: uncultured bacterium
Lineage: Bacteria
Description: partial 16S ribosomal RNA
Rfam family: Bacterial small subunit ribosomal RNA
Source: RNAcentral
AUUGAACGCUGGCGGCAUGCCUUACACAUGCAAGUCGAACGGCAGCACGGGAGCAAUCCUGGUGGCGAGUGGCGAACGGGUGAGUAAUACAUCGGAACGUGCCCAGUAGUGGGGGAUAACCCGGCGAAGCCGGACUAAUACCGCAUACGACCUACGGGUGGAAAGACAGGGGAGUCGCAAGACCUUGCGCUAUCGGAGCGACCGAUGUCAGAUUAGCUUGUUGGCGGGGAAAAGGACCCACCAAGGCGACGAUCUGUAGCUGGUCUGAGAGGAC